AGUGAACGCUGGCGGUAGGCCUAACACAUGCAAGUCGAACGGCAGCACAGUAAGAGCUUGCUCUUACGGGUGGCGAGUGGCGGACGGGUGAGGAAUACAUCGGAAUCUACUUUUUCGUGGGGGAUAACGUAGGGAAACUUACGCUAAUACCGCAUACGACCUACGGGUGAAAGCAGGGGAUCUUCGGACCUUGCGCGAUUGAAUGAGCCGAUGUCGGAUUAGCUAGUUGGCGGGGUAAAGGCCCACCAAGGCGACGAUCCGUAGCGGGCCUGAGAGGAUGAUCGGCCACACUGGAACUGAGACACGGUCCAGACUCCUACGGGAGGCAGCAGUGGGGAAUCUUGCACAAUGGGCGCAAGCCUGACCCAGCCAUACCGCGUGAGUGAAGAAGGCCUUCGGGUUGUAAAGCCCUUUUGUUGGGAAAGAAAAGCAGCAUGUUAAUCCCUCGCCGUUCUGACGGUACCCAAAGAAUAAGCCCCGGCUAACUUCGUG
Molecule: ribosomal RNA, 492 nt
Filed under: uncultured bacterium
Lineage: Bacteria
Description: partial 16S ribosomal RNA
Rfam family: Bacterial small subunit ribosomal RNA
Source: RNAcentral